This 2395-nucleotide ribosomal RNA is filed under the name Escherichia coli. RNAcentral's name for it is "partial 23S ribosomal RNA". It matches the Rfam family "Bacterial large subunit ribosomal RNA", at positions 550 to 2925 of the family's 2925-position model. Lineage: Bacteria; Pseudomonadati; Pseudomonadota; Gammaproteobacteria; Enterobacterales; Enterobacteriaceae. The record is from RNAcentral.
CUGAAACCGUGUACGUACAAGCAGUGGGAGCCUCUUAAUGGGGUGACUGCGUACCUUUUGUAUAAUGGGUCAGCGACUUAUAUUCUGUAGCAAGGUUAACCGAAUAGGGGAGCCGAAGGGAAACCGAGUCUUAACUGGGCGUUAAGUUGCAGGGUAUAGACCCGAAACCCGGUGAUCUAGCCAUGGGCAGGUUGAAGGUUGGGUAACACUAACUGGAGGACCGAACCGACUAAUGUUGAAAAAUUAGCGGAUGACUUGUGGCUGGGGGUGAAAGGCCAAUCAAACCGGGAGAUAGCUGGUUCUCCCCGAAAGCUAUUUAGGUAGCGCCUCGUGAAUUCAUCUCCGGGGGUAGAGCACUGUUUCGGCAAGGGGGUCAUCCCGACUUACCAACCCGAUGCAAACUGCGAAUACCGGAGAAUGUUAUCACGGGAGACACACGGCGGGUGCUAACGUCCGUCGUGAAGAGGGAAACAACCCAGACCGCCAGCUAAGGUCCCAAAGUCAUGGUUAAGUGGGAAACGAUGUGGGAAGGCCCAGACAGCCAGGAUGUUGGCUUAGAAGCAGCCAUCAUUUAAAGAAAGCGUAAUAGCUCACUGGUCGAGUCGGCCUGCGCGGAAGAUGUAACGGGGCUAAACCAUGCACCGAAGCUGCGGCAGCGACACUAUGUGUUGUUGGGUAGGGGAGCGUUCUGUAAGCCUGUGAAGGUGGCCUGUGAGGGUUGCUGGAGGUAUCAGAAGUGCGAAUGCUGACAUAAGUAACGAUAAAGCGGGUGAAAAGCCCGCUCGCCGGAAGACCAAGGGUUCCUGUCCAACGUUAAUCGGGGCAGGGUGAGUCGACCCCUAAGGCGAGGCCGAAAGGCGUAGUCGAUGGGAAACAGGUUAAUAUUCCUGUACUUGGUGUUACUGCGAAGGGGGGACGGAGAAGGCUAUGUUGGCCGGGCGACGGUUGUCCCGGUUUAAGCGUGUAGGCUGGUUUUCCAGGCAAAUCCGGAAAACCAAGGCUGAGGCGUGAUGACGAGGCACUACGGUGCUGAAGCGACAAAUGCCCUGCUUCCAGGAAAAGCCUCUAAGCAUCAGGUAACAUCAAAUCGUACCCCAAACCGACACAGGUGGUCAGGUAGAGAAUACCAAGGCGCUUGAGAGAACUCGGGUGAAGGAACUAGGCAAAAUGGUGCCGUAACUUCGGGAGAAGGCACGCUGAUAUGUAGGUGAAGCGACUUGCUCGUGGAGCUGAAAUCAGUCGAAGAUACCAGCUGGCUGCAACUGUUUAUUAAAAACACAGCACUGUGCAAACACGAAAGUGGACGUAUACGGUGUGACGCCUGCCCGGUGCCGGAAGGUUAAUUGAUGGGGUUAGCGGUAACGCGAAGCUCUUGAUCGAAGCCCCGGUAAACGGCGGCCGUAACUAUAACGGUCCUAAGGUAGCGAAAUUCCUUGUCGGGUAAGUUCCGACCUGCACGAAUGGCGUAAUGAUGGCCAGGCUGUCUCCACCCGAGACUCAGUGAAAUUGAACUCGCUGUGAAGAUGCAGUGUACCCGCGGCAAGACGGAAAGACCCCGUGAACCUUUACUAUAGCUUGACACUGAACAUUGAGCCUUGAUGUGUAGGAUAGGUGGGAGGCUUUGAAGUGUGGACGCCAGUCUGCAUGGAGCCGACCUUGAAAUACCACCCUUUAAUGUUUGAUGUUCUAACGUUGGCCCGUAAUCCGGGUUGCGGACAGUGUCUGGUGGGUAGUUUGACUGGGGCGGUCUCCUCCUAAAGAGUAACGGAGGAGCACGAAGGUUGGCUAAUCCUGGUCGGACAUCAGGAGGUUAGUGCAAUGGCAUAAGCCAGCUUGACUGCGAGCGUGACGGCGCGAGCAGGUGCGAAAGCAGGUCAUAGUGAUCCGGUGGUUCUGAAUGGAAGGGCCAUCGCUCAACGGAUAAAAGGUACUCCGGGGAUAACAGGCUGAUACCGCCCAAGAGUUCAUAUCGACGGCGGUGUUUGGCACCUCGAUGUCGGCUCAUCACAUCCUGGGGCUGAAGUAGGUCCCAAGGGUAUGGCUGUUCGCCAUUUAAAGUGGUACGCGAGCUGGGUUUAGAACGUCGUGAGACAGUUCGGUCCCUAUCUGCCGUGGGCGCUGGAGAACUGAGGGGGGCUGCUCCUAGUACGAGAGGACCGGAGUGGACGCAUCACUGGUGUUCGGGUUGUCAUGCCAAUGGCACUGCCCGGUAGCUAAAUGCGGAAGAGAUAAGUGCUGAAAGCAUCUAAGCACGAAACUUGCCCCGAGAUGAGUUCUCCCUGAGACUUAGAGUCUCCUGAAGGAACGUUGAAGACGACGACGUUGAUAGGCCGGGUGUGUAAGCGCAGCGAUGCGUUGAGCUAACCGGUACUAAUGAACCGUGAGGCUUAACCUU